CAGAAUCUAUACUAGUACAAAAA
This 23-nucleotide microRNA is filed under the name Caenorhabditis briggsae. Its description in RNAcentral is "Cbr-Mir-305-P1_3p* (star (passenger))". The record is from RNAcentral. Lineage: Eukaryota; Metazoa; Nematoda; Chromadorea; Rhabditida; Rhabditidae.